AUGAACGCUGGCGGCGUGCCUAAUACAUGCAAGUCGAGCGAACGGACGAGAAGCUUGCUUCUCUGAUGUUAGCGGCGGACGGGUGAGUAACACGUGGAUAACCUACCUAUAAGACUGGGAUAACUUCGGGAAACCGGAGCUAAUACCGGAUAAUAUUUUGAACCGCAUGGUUCAAAAGUGAAAGACGGUCUUGCUGUCACUUAUAGAUGGAUCCGCGCUGCAUUAGCUAGUUGGUAAGGUAACGGCUUACCAAGGCAACGAUGCAUAGCCGACCUGAGAGGGUGAUCCGCCACACGGGAACUGAGACACGGUCCAGACUCCUACGGGAGGCAGCAGUAGGGAAUCUUCCGCGAUGGGCGAAAGCCGGACGGAGCAAAGCCGCGUGAGUGAUGAAGGUCUUCGGAUCGUAAAACUCUGUUAUUAGGGAAGAACAUAUGUGUAAGUAACUGUGAAGAUCAUGACGGUACCUAAUCAGAAAGCCACGGCUAACUACGUG
Molecule: ribosomal RNA, 496 nt
Filed under: uncultured bacterium
Lineage: Bacteria
Description: partial 16S ribosomal RNA
Rfam family: Bacterial small subunit ribosomal RNA
Source: RNAcentral